UUGAGUUCUCACUCAACAUAUCUAUAUAUCUCAACAUCCGAGAGAAGAACAUAAAAGCAUCAUCUUACAGGUAAAAUACUCUUGGUCUAAUUCCUCUAGUUUCAUAGUUUGUAUACCGUUAAAAAGAUUCUUGUUAGUCUCUGCUAAUUACUCUGUUCGUCAUCGUUCAAACAUUUAUAUGGAGUUAAAACAAACAUGAUGCUCAGUUUUUAAUCCAUUUUAUAGAUCUUGCUGUCUUAAAUCUAAUGAACUGAUUUGUCGCUAUAUAUGUGUUAAUAACUUUAACAAUAAGAAUUGUGUUCUUAAACAGAGAGGUUUAGUUAUAUCUCGUCUUUAAUCAUAAAUCAUGUUGUCUUAAUUAAGUUCAAUGAUGUGAGAAUAAUUUAGUUAGAAAUUAUGUUAUGUCUAAGAAAACAUACACGGUUUUUUGGUCUAUUGAUUUUUGGAUUUUUAAAUAACGUAGUUAUAAUAAUGCAUGUACAAAAGUUGUUGACAAGGUGAAAAAAAUUGUAAUGACUAAUGAUGAUUGAUUUUGAUUAUUUUUUUGCAGAGGAUGCAAAAGUCUAGAGACUGUGUCUGGAGUUCUCCAUCUUCUACUUGGCCAACCUUUGAAGUUAACCAGAUUGUUUUGUCUAAUUUUGUUUAUUUUGAUGAAAGAUGGAUGUAUAGAAGUAUAUAGGAUGUAGAUUAAAAUCGGUGAUGUGUGUGUGUAGAGAGAAAGUAAACACACAAAAAUGCAACGAAGUGUAGAGAGAGAG
This 758-nucleotide long non-coding RNA is filed under the name Arabidopsis thaliana (thale cress). Its description in RNAcentral is "long non-coding RNA (ATHA_LNC000217)". The record is from RNAcentral. Lineage: Eukaryota; Viridiplantae; Streptophyta; Magnoliopsida; Brassicales; Brassicaceae.